GACGAACGCUGGCGGCGUGCUUAACACAUGCAAGUCGAGCGGUAAGGCCUCUUCGGGGGUACACGAGCGGCGAACGGGUGAGUAACACGUGGGUGACCUGCCCUCAGCUCUGGGAUAAGCAUGGGAAACUGGGUCUAAUACCGGAUAUGACCUUUCCUCGCAUGGGGUUUGGGGGAAAGUUUUUUCGGCUGGGGAUGGGCCCGCGGCCUAUCAGCUUGUUGGUGGGGUGAUGGCCUACCAAGGCGACGACGGGUAGCCGGCCUGAGAGGGCGGCCGGCCACGCUGGGACUGAGGCACGGCCCAGACUCCUACGGGAGGCAGCAGUGGGGUAUAUUGCGCAAUGGGCGGAAGCCUGACGCAGCGACGCCGCGUGGGGGAUGACGGCCGUCGGGUUGUAAACCUCUUUCGACCCCGACGAAUUUGGACGGUAGUGGUAGAAGAAGCACCGGCCAACUACGUG
This 460-nucleotide ribosomal RNA is filed under the name uncultured bacterium. RNAcentral describes it as "partial 16S ribosomal RNA". It matches the Rfam family "Bacterial small subunit ribosomal RNA", at positions 28 to 507 of the family's 1533-position model. The record is from RNAcentral.